This 465-nucleotide ribosomal RNA is filed under the name uncultured bacterium. RNAcentral describes it as "partial 16S ribosomal RNA". It matches the Rfam family "Bacterial small subunit ribosomal RNA", at positions 338 to 795 of the family's 1533-position model. The record is from RNAcentral.
CCUACGGGUGGCAGCAGUGGGGAAUAUUGCGCAAUGGGCGAAAGCCUGACGCAGCGACGCCGCGUGAGGGAUGAAGGUCUUCGGAUCUUAAACCUCUGUCAGCAGGGAAGUACGGUCACUCUGCUAAUCAUCAUUGCAUUGACUUUACCUGCAAAGGAAGCACCGCCUCACUCCGUGCCAGCAGCCGCGGUAAUACGGAGGGGGCGAGCGUUACUCGGAAUUACUGGGCGUAAAGCGCUCGUAGGCGGUAGGUCAAGUCAAGGGUGAAAUCCCCGCGCUCAACGGGGGAACUGCCUUUGAAACUGGCAGACUGGAGUGUGGGAGAGGAUAGUGGAAUUCCAGGUGUAGGAGUGAAAUCCGUAGAUAUCUGGAGGAACAUCAGUGGCGAAGGCGACUAUCUGGAACGUAACUGACGCUGAGGAGCGAAAGCGUGGGUAGCAAACAGGAUUAGAUACCCGUGUAGUC